GAUAAUGGCUCAGAACGAACGCUGGCGGCAGGCUUAACACAUGCAAGUUGAACGUGAUUUGCUGGGUGCUUGCACCGAGCAAUGAAAGUAGCGCACUGGUGAGUAACACGUGGGAACGUACCUUUUGGUGGGGAACAACAGUUGGAAACGACUGCUAAUACCGCAUAAGCCCUGAGGGGGAAAGAUUUAUCGCCGAAAGAACGGCCCGCGGAAGAUUAGGUAGUUGGUGGGGUAACGGCCUACCAAGCCGACGAUCUAUAG
RNAcentral lists this ribosomal RNA (261 nucleotides) under uncultured bacterium. RNAcentral's name for it is "partial 16S ribosomal RNA". It matches the Rfam family "Bacterial small subunit ribosomal RNA", at positions 15 to 286 of the family's 1533-position model. The record is from RNAcentral.